UCCCAGGUAGCUUAAUGGUAAAGCACCCAACCGGCAAUUGGGAGAUCUGGGUUCAAGUCCCAGUCUGGGCU
Strigamia maritima is the source of this 71-nucleotide non-coding RNA. The record is from Rfam. Lineage: Eukaryota; Metazoa; Arthropoda; Chilopoda; Geophilomorpha; Linotaeniidae.